CCUACGGGAGACAGCAGUGAGGAAUAUUGGUCAAUGGGCGGGAGCCUGAACCAGCCAAGUCGCGUGAGGGAAGACGGUCCUAUGGAUUGUAAACCUCUUUAGGCGGGGAGCAAUGCCGGGCACGCGUGCCCGGAGGGAGAGUACCCGCAGAAUAAGCACCGGCUAACUCCGUGCCAGCAGCCGCGGUAACACGGAGGAUGCGAGCGUUACCUGGAUUUUUUGGGUUAAAUGGGUGCGUAGGCGGAUCUUUAAGUCAGCGGUAAAAUGUCCGGGCUCAACCCGGGCCGGCCGUUGAAACUGGGGAUCUUGAGUGGGCGAGAAGGAUGCGGAAUGCGUGGUGUAGCGGUGAAAUGCAUAGAUAUCACGCAGAACUCCGAUUGCGAAGGCAACAUACCGGCGCCCAACUGACGCUGAGGCACGAAGGCGUGGGGAUCGAACAGGAUUAGAUACCCCUGUAGUC
Molecule: ribosomal RNA, 460 nt
Filed under: uncultured bacterium
Lineage: Bacteria
Description: partial 16S ribosomal RNA
Rfam family: Bacterial small subunit ribosomal RNA
Source: RNAcentral